This 194-nucleotide unclassified non-coding RNA is filed under the name uncultured Sebacinaceae. Its description in RNAcentral is "sequence contains ITS2". The record is from RNAcentral. Lineage: Eukaryota; Fungi; Basidiomycota; Agaricomycetes; Sebacinales; Sebacinaceae.
UAAUCUCACUUCAAUAACUUUUGUUGUUAAAUGUGGACUUGGAUGUUGUCGUGUUCAACGACUCAUCUUAAAUGCCUGAGUGUACCCUGCUUUGCAGCGUAUCAGUGUGAUAAACAUCUUCACUGUUAAGUCUUUCGAGACACGCUUGUGUUGUAGGCUCUAUGCUUCUAACCGUCUUUGGACAAUCUCUGACA